UGCCUACGGGGGGCAGCAGUGAGGAAUAUUGGUCAAUGGGAGAGAUCCUGAACCAGCCAAGCCGCGUGAGGGAAGACGGCCCUAUGGGUUGUAAACCUCUUUUGUCAGGGAACAAAGGCGGGGACUAGUCCCCGGAUGAGGGUACCUGAAGAAAAAGCAUCGGCUAACUCCGUGCCAGCAGCCGCGGUAAUACGGAGGAUGCGAGCGUUAUCCGGAUUUAUUGGGUUUAAAGGGUGCGCAGGCGGCCUGUUAAGUCAGCGGUAAAAGCCCGGGGCUCAACCCCGGCGAGCCGUUGAAACUGGCGG
This 305-nucleotide ribosomal RNA is filed under the name uncultured bacterium. Its description in RNAcentral is "bacterial SSU rRNA". It matches the Rfam family "Bacterial small subunit ribosomal RNA", at positions 335 to 639 of the family's 1533-position model. The record is from RNAcentral.